Molecule: long non-coding RNA, 1027 nt
Organism: Lactuca sativa (garden lettuce)
Lineage: Eukaryota; Viridiplantae; Streptophyta; Magnoliopsida; Asterales; Asteraceae
Source: RefSeq, a predicted model, not a curated record
CUUUCCUUCCCUCUUCCGAUGUAAUUGAUACGUGUCAUUACCACCGCCUCAAAUCCCUCUUUCCACUUCCUGAUCCAUCUUAUCCACCACUACCCUGUGUGAGGGCUUCUGUUUAGAACCUAUUGAGAACUGCCAUCACCAAUGUCUGCUUGCAUCACCGAUCUCUGCCAGCUGCAACCAUCGUCAUCCCGUCGGCUUUUGGCUUCAGCCUGACACCUAUUUUCCAUCAUUUUUCCGUUGACUUUCAACUGUUCAACGUCUACACCACAAGCGAUUUGCGAUUUGUAGCUAAGCAUAUUUUUAUUUCGGAUUUGAACGAAGCUAUUGUUCAAUUUCGGUAUACUUUGGAUUUUGUUUUUUUCAUUCUUUAUUAUGAAAUUUGAAAGUGAGUUUGAUGAUGUACACCAAGUGCUCGAUGAAAUGUUACAACCAAAUGUUAAUGUUUCUUACAUCUGUUGGACUCUGUGGAUGCAUAGAUUUCCAAGCACUAUGAUGUUGUCGAUCUUUUACUGUGUCCAUGGUAAAUAUGUGGAAUUGAGAUAAAGCAUUGGUGGUUUUUAGGGCUGAUUGGAGAUGUGUUGUUGACAACCUUUUAACCAAAAAAAGGUGUUGCAAAGGCUUCAACAACUAAACUAUAUACUCAAUCAUCAACUACAUAUGAUUCUCUCCAAAGGAAUCCUUUUGAAUGAGGGUAAAACGACUAAAUCCAUUCUCUCCUGGGGCAAUUACCACUAAUCAUUGAAGACCGUAUGCAAACAUUCUCAAGAUACAGGAACAAGAAAAUAAAGAGAAAUUUUGGCAGAAAAAUGAAGAGUAUGCUUACAGGAAGGCUUUGAAAGUUUCUCAAACUAAAGACAAAAUGAAGGAGACCUUGUCAAAACAAGCUGUUAAAGAUUGCUUACUUAUUGGAAAAAUAAAUGGUUUGGUGGAGUCGAAAGUGAUUUGUAUGGUUAGUCUUUUAUUUCAUUGUUAUAAUGAUUUUUUUACAAUUAAAUCAAUUUAGUCACUUGAUUAUUUUUUUUGUAGU